UUAGACCCAAGCUUAGAAGCCGCAAGUACUGUAACCUCAGUAUUACAUUCCCUGUAAUCUUCUCAAAGUUAAACCAGGAACCAUAGUCAAUAUAAUCAACCUUGCCAAUUGCCGGAACAGCAGAAGACAACUCAAACUUGAAAGCUGGACCUGCCAGAUCAGCUACCAUUGCCAGUUCUCCUUGUUGCGACUUCACUUCAUGAACAGCCUUAAACUGCAAACCAGGAGCCACAUCAAACGAAGCAUUGACCAGAGCAUUCUUCUCUUCAAUAUCAUAAUGAAGUGACAAAUACUUCGAAGUUAACGCCAAUUGAGGAUCCG
This 321-nucleotide unclassified non-coding RNA is filed under the name Hevea brasiliensis (rubber tree). Lineage: Eukaryota; Viridiplantae; Streptophyta; Magnoliopsida; Malpighiales; Euphorbiaceae. The record is from RNAcentral.